GCGAGAUACGAAGCACAGCCGCUAGGAAAUAAUGCUUACAGUAUGGGCAGUUUGUGCUUGUUAACCUGUGCCCCCUACCUGUUCCUCUGAUAAUCAUGCCUUUCGCUUCUAAAGGACGUGGAGUACAAAGGCCCCCCUACUACUGUAUCAUUAUAUAUAUUGGUCAGUAGUUUCAGUCUGUGCACAUCCACUGGCCGGAAGACACCAGCGCAAUACAAACUUAAGUAAGAUUGUGCAGUCCAGUAUUUACCAGGUGUUGCAGCUGGCAGCAGCCAUCCAGUGGCGAAGGUGCGUUUUGUCUUUUCUUCUGCCUUCUACAACUGACUGAACGUGGAAAAAUCUACUCAAAUUCAAUUUCUGGUAGCGAGAACACUUUCCCAUUACGUGGCGGUAACUUGAUUAAAUCUUUACUAGUUCAGAGCGGAUCUCAACUGAGAAAAUGUGGGUACGCUGAGUUGAAAAUGUCUUGUUAAAAGUUAUACUUAGAUAUGAAUUCUGCUACCCUUUUCAAUGCUUUUCAAUGGAAGAUUAGACAAAGUGCUGUUAGCAUAUUCACUCACCCUCACCACCGCCUCAAGUAACCACCACCUCCACCAGUAACCUCAUUCCAUCAGUCUAGCAAAGUCGUCUUUACAUGACAACACUCUAGCAUUUGUCUGCCAGGGGCUU
Zootermopsis nevadensis is the source of this 669-nucleotide non-coding RNA. The record is from RefSeq and is a predicted model, not a curated record. Lineage: Eukaryota; Metazoa; Arthropoda; Insecta; Blattodea; Termopsidae.